This is a long non-coding RNA of Drosophila arizonae, 481 nucleotides long. NCBI's taxonomy places the organism in Eukaryota, Metazoa, Arthropoda, Insecta, Diptera, Drosophilidae. The record is from RefSeq and is a predicted model, not a curated record.
UAUAGCAUUUGAUUGCUAUUAUAGGAUGGACUGUGCCUAAGUCGUUUUUAAUACACUAGUUGCACACAAUGGGGAUAUUAUUUAGUAGAAGGUGGGCUCAUGAAACUUGACGAUCAGACAGCAAAUUGUCUAAUCGGGCUAGGCGCCCAAUUGAAAAGUUUUGCGGAAAAGUGUCUGACAUAGAGUGCAAUCCCAUUUGGCACUAAUCAACGUGCUCUUGUCUACAAACAAAUCAUCAACCAUGAUGAUCAUCAUGAACCUCAUCAUGCGCAUCAUGAUCAUCAUCUGUGCAUACGAAUGUAUCUAUGCCAAUGACAAUGAGAGACGUUGGCGUCUGUCAACGCGCCAAAAAAAAAAAAAAAAAAAAAAAAGAAAAAACUUUGGUGUGGGUGUUUCGUGUUUUUGAGUGCUUAGAAUAGGGUCUCUCUCAUGGGCUUGUGAACUGGAACGCUGCGCUCGCCAUCGCUGGCAGAGCUGGAGC